GCUGGCGGCGUGCUUAACACAUGCAAGUCGAACGGAAAGGCCUCUUUCGGGGGGUACUCGAGUGGCGAACGGGUGAGUAACACGUGAGUAACCUGCCCUUGACUUUGGGAUAACUUCAGGAAACUGGGGCUAAUACCGGAUAGGAGCUCCUGCUGCAUGGUGGGGGUUGGAAAGUUUCGGCGGUUGGGGAUGGACUCGCGGCUUAUCAGCUUGUUGGUGGGGUAGUGGCUUACCAAGGCUUUGACGGGUAGCCGGCCUGAGAGGGUGACCGGCCACAUUGGGACUGAGAUACGGCCCAGACUCCUACGGGAGGCAGCAGUGGGGAAUAUUGCACAAUGGGUGGAAGCCUGAUGCAGCAACGCCGUGUGCGGGAUGACGGCCUUCGGGUUGUAAACCGCUUUCGCUCAUGACGAAGCUUUGUGUGACGGUAGUGGGUAAAGAAGCACCGGCUAACUACGUG
Molecule: ribosomal RNA, 460 nt
Filed under: uncultured bacterium
Lineage: Bacteria
Description: bacterial SSU rRNA
Rfam family: Bacterial small subunit ribosomal RNA
Source: RNAcentral